Molecule: ribosomal RNA, 253 nt
Filed under: uncultured bacterium
Lineage: Bacteria
Description: partial 16S ribosomal RNA
Rfam family: Bacterial small subunit ribosomal RNA
Source: RNAcentral
UACGAAGGGGGCUAGCGUUGCUCGGAAUUACUGGGCGUAAAGGGAGCGUAGGCGGGUUAUCAAGUUGGAGGUGAAAGCCCAGGGCUCAACCUUGGAAUUGCCUUCAAAACUGAUAGCCUAGAGUAUGAUAGAGGUAAGUGGAACUCCGAGUGUAGAGGUGAAAUUCGUAGAUAUUCGGAAGAACACCAGUGGCGAAGGCGACUUACUGGAUCAUGACUGACGCUGAGGCUCGACAGCGUGGGGAUCAAACAGG